This 1096-nucleotide long non-coding RNA is filed under the name Cricetulus griseus (Chinese hamster). RNAcentral describes it as "lncRNA (ENSCGRG00015037440.1)". The record is from RNAcentral. Lineage: Eukaryota; Metazoa; Chordata; Mammalia; Rodentia; Cricetidae.
CACGCAUGGGACUAACACAUCUGAUGGAGAGCCAAGCUGUUUCCACCAAACAAGAAGAGAAACAUCACAAGAUCUCUCUAUUUGGGAGAAGAAAAUCUGGAAAUGACAUCAUUUCCCACCACAUUUCCAGACGCUCCCUGGAGGGUCUGCUAUGGCUACUCUUGUGGGAUCAAGGGCUGCUGGUGACUUGAGCCCUCGGGGAACUGCAACAGACACAUUUCAAAGAGGAGACAGAGUGAAGCAGAUCUUUCUAUUCAAGUUCCCUUACACAAGCUUGUAUCCACACUGAAGAACACCCCUAGGAAACUUCAAGGUACCAAGGACAAGGAGAAACUCCUGACAGAUUUUACAGAGGAGUUUGGGAAGUCAAACUCAGAAUAUCCUUUGACUUCUCAAGAGCAACAUUGGAUGCUGGAAGACAAUGGAAUACCAAAAUUCUGUAGGGAAGAAACUUUCAUCAUAGUAUCCUAUGUUUAGCCAAACCAGUAGUUAAAUAAAGAAGGGAAAACAUGUCAAAUAAGUUACAGCUUAUACUCACAGAGAAAAUUAUUAAGGGUGAAGCCCAGCAAAAGAGAAAACACUAAAAAAGCAGAAGCCAUGAGUGAGGGUGGAGUUUUUGAUUGACAACUUGAUUGUUUCUCAAUAAAAACACCCAGGGAACUAAUGAUUCCCAGCUUUGGUGUGUGCUUGCAGACUCUUUCAGAAAGGAGAAACUGAGUGUGGAGGUACCAUUUCAUGGACUGUGCUUCCAGACUAAAUAAAGGAAGGAAAGAAAGACGGCAGAAUGCUGAACUUCCUCCCUUUGCUUCCUGGUUUGCAAACAUACGAACACGCAACUUCCCAUACCUACCACCACAGCUGUGAACCACCUCCACACUGUGCCUUCUCCACCAUGGUGAAUGACACCCUCAAGUCACAAGCUACCACAAAUGUUUCUUUACCCACUUUGCUUCUUGUUAGUAAUGGCCAAAGUGAUGGGAAAUGUUACCAGUAUAACACAGGAGGCAGGAACAGUGGCUCUGACCUGGAAGAGCAGAGAGAGAAGGCCCUGGAGAACAGCUGAGCAGCAGGUAAGAAACAGGCAACCCAGAUAGGG